RNAcentral lists this ribosomal RNA (545 nucleotides) under Penicillium sp. 13-M-2. RNAcentral describes it as "eukaryotic LSU rRNA". The stretch from base 214 to 367 matches the Rfam family "5.8S ribosomal RNA". The record is from RNAcentral. Lineage: Eukaryota; Fungi; Ascomycota; Eurotiomycetes; Eurotiales; Aspergillaceae.
CGUAACAAGGUUUCCGUAGGUGAACCUGCGGAAGGAUCAUUACCGAGUGAGAAUCCUCUGGAUUCAACCUCCCACCCGUGUUUAUUUUACCUUGUUGCUUCGGUGGACCCGCCGUAAGGCCGCCGGGGGCAUCUGCCCCGGGUCCGUGUCCACCGGAGACAAUCUGAACUCUGUCUGAAUGUUGCAGUCUGAGUAUAUAACUUAAUUAGUUAAAACUUUCAACAACGGAUCUCUUGGUUCCGGCAUCGAUGAAGAACGCAGCGAAAUGCGAUAACUAAUGUGAAUUGCAGAAUUCAGUGAAUCAUCGAGUCUUUGAACGCACAUUGCGCCCCCUGGUAUUCCGGGGGGCAUGCCUGUCCGAGCGUCAUUGCUGCCCUCAAGCACGGCUUGUGUGUUGGGCCCUCGUCCCUUUCGGGGGACGGGCCCGAAAGGCAGCGGCGGCACCGGUCCGAUCCUCGAACGUAUGGGGCUUUGUCACUCGUUCUUGUAGGAUUGGCCGGCGCUUGCCGACACCAUCAAUCUUUUUCCAGGUGACCUCGGAUCAG